UGGUGUGGCUCAAUGGUAGAGCAACGCAUUCGUAAUGCGUGGGCUGCGGGUUCGAUUCCCGCCACC
RNAcentral lists this transfer RNA (66 nucleotides) under pig gut metagenome. It matches the Rfam family "tRNA". Rfam says of the family: Transfer RNA (tRNA) molecules are approximately 80 nucleotides in length. The record is from RNAcentral.